RNAcentral lists this ribosomal RNA (486 nucleotides) under uncultured bacterium. RNAcentral describes it as "bacterial SSU rRNA". It matches the Rfam family "Bacterial small subunit ribosomal RNA", at positions 32 to 518 of the family's 1533-position model. The record is from RNAcentral.
AACGCUGGCGGCGUAGCCUAACACAUGCAAGUCGAACGAAGCUCCGGAACGGAUCUUCGGAUGAAGCGAAGGAAGACUUAGUGGCGGACGGGUGAGUAACGCGUGAGCAACCUGCCUUCAGAGGGGAUAACAGUUGGAAACGACUGCUAAUACCGCAUAAUAUAUUGUUGUCGCAUGGCAAUGAUAUCAAAGCUGAGGCGCUGGAAGAUGGGCUCGCGUCCGAUUAGAUAGUUGGUGGGGUAACGGCCUACCAAGUCGACGAUCGGUAGCCGGACUGAGAGGUUGAACGGCCACAUUGGGACUGAGACACGGCCCAGACUCCUACGGGAGGCAGCAGUGGGGGAUAUUGCACAAUGGGCGAAAGCCUGAUGCAGCAACGCCGCGUGAGGGAAGACGGUUUUCGGAUUGUAAACCUCUGUCUUUGGUGAAGAAGGAAGUGACGGUAACCAAGGAGGAAGCCACGGCUAACUACGUGCCAGCAGCUGC